This 402-nucleotide ribosomal RNA is filed under the name uncultured bacterium. Its description in RNAcentral is "bacterial SSU rRNA". It matches the Rfam family "Bacterial small subunit ribosomal RNA", at positions 32 to 414 of the family's 1533-position model. The record is from RNAcentral.
AAUCAACGCUGGCGGCGUGCCUCAGACAUGCAAGUCGAACGCGAAAGUCCCCUUCGGGGGACAAGUAGAGUGGCGCACGGGUGAGUAACACGUAGGUAAUCUACCUUCGGAUGGGGAAUAACAACCGGAAACGGUUGCUAAUACCGCAUAAUGCAGCGGCACCUAAUGGUGACAGUUGUUAAAGCGGGGGAUCGAAAGACCUCGCGUCUGAAGAGGAGCCUGCGGCGGAUUAGCAGUUGGUAAGGUAAUGGCUUACCAAGGCGACGAUCCGUAGCCGGCCUGAGAGGGCGGUCGGCCACACUGACACUGACAUACGGGUCAGACUCCUACGGGAGGCAGCAGUCGGGAAUUUUGGGCAAUGGGCGAAAGCCUGACCCAGCAACGCCGCGUGAAGGAUGAAAU